GGGCGUGCUGGAAUCUCGCAAGAAACUGUUCGAGCAGCUGCUGUGGCAGCACCGCGGGCUUUCUGACGCGCAUGCAGCACUUCAGCUCACGCACAGCCAGUGCCAAGCCGCGCUACCGGAACCUUCCCAGCUGGAUGAGCUUGUAAGCCGCAUUGCUGCCCUCCAAGGAGAGAAGGAGAAGCUUUCCCUCUAGCACCAGAAUGAAUUGCAGGCUCAGAAAAAUGAGACCGCCCGGCUCAAGGAAGAGCUGAUCCAGCUCGGGCUGCGACAUGAUAGCGCCCUGAAAGAGGUCGUCCAGGCCGGAAAAGCCGAGGUGGAGGAAGCUAAAACUGCUUUGAUUGAGCUGCAUGAGCAGGAGGUGAGGGAAGUCCAGGACCGGUUGCACAAGGACAUUGAAGAAGAAAGGGAUCUGCGGGAGCUGGAGAGGCAGCGGAACAACUAGCUGCAGCUAGUCCAGAUUUCGUAUGGCAAGAUCAUCAAGGACCUGGAUGAUAAGAUCCGGAGUAAGCAUCCCCUUUCUUAUCUGUAGUUCUUCCUAUCUUGCCGGUUUGUUCUUAUAACGGUUUCUUUUGUUCAUUUCUGCAGCCGUCUUCCCUGAGUCACAGGCACGUGCUGAAGCGGCCGUUGCUAAGGUCAGGGUCGAGGAUCCGGCUUCUGAUGCCGCCCCCUAGACCACAGAGGAACAUGUUACCGCUCUCUCUACUCGCGUGACUCAUAUGACCAAGCUUGCUAAGCUCCCAGAUGCCGCAAUUCAAGCCUUCAAGUGGCUCUGGCCUGGUGAAACAUUUCCGGACCGUAUUGAUGCCCUCUGUGCCCGGCUUAAUGAGUGUGGUGCCCGGCUUCAUGAAUGGCGGCGUUCUGCCGCACGUUCUGGUGCAGACACCGCUCUGCGGUUUGUUUGCUCCUGGUAUGAAGACCUGGACUUGGAUGCUCUGGCUAUGCUACGCUUUGGUGCUCCUACUGACACCGAUCCGGUUCUUACCGCCAAGCGCCGCGAGCGAGCUUACCAAGUGGCCCAUUAUGCCUCCGUGAGCACUUUCAUACCGGCGCCGGAAGAUUUUGAAGAUGCUGAAAGUGAUGAUGAAGUUGAAGAAACCGCUGAAGAUGCCACUGCCAAUGCUGAACCAGCUGCGUCUGGCCAAGCUCCAGAAAGCUCUUCGCCGGAGUAUGCAUGAUAAACUUUGGUCCUAUCCUCAAAAACAAUUCGUGAAAUGCCCGGUAUGCCGGGUUUGAUGAUGUAAUAUACACUUUAAGUCCUUUCGGUCCGUUGAACUUAUUAGGUCUGGUAUGUUUGAACUUAUUAGGUUCGGUUUGUCUGAACUUGUUAUGUCAAGUACUCCGGGUUCGAUCCCGAGUUCAAUUUAGUGUUUGCUUAGCUUUU
Long non-coding RNA from Lolium perenne, 1381 nucleotides. RefSeq lists it as uncharacterized. The record is from RefSeq and is a predicted model, not a curated record. Lineage: Eukaryota; Viridiplantae; Streptophyta; Magnoliopsida; Poales; Poaceae.